Molecule: ribosomal RNA, 915 nt
Filed under: uncultured archaeon
Lineage: Archaea
Description: SSU rRNA
Rfam family: Archaeal small subunit ribosomal RNA
Source: RNAcentral
UUUCCGGUUGAUCCUGCCGGACCUGACUGCUAUCGGAUUGAUACUAAGCCAUGCGAGUCUUUGCAGUAAUGCAAGGCAUACGGCUCAGUAACACGUAGUCAACUUACCCUAUGGACGAGGAUAAUCUCGGGAAACUGAGCAUAAUACUCGAUAGAUCAUAAUGCCUGGAAUGGUUUAUGGUUGAAAUGAUUCGUCGCCAUAGGAUGGGACUGCGGCCUAUCAGCUUGUUGGUGAGGUAAUGGCCCACCAAGGCGAUUACAGGUACGGGCUCUGAGAGGAGAAGCCCGGAGAUGGGUACUGAGACAAGGACCCAGGCCCUAUGGGGCGCAGCAGGCGAGAAAACUUUGCAAUGUGCGAAAGCACGACAAGGUUAAUCCGAGUGAUUUCUGCUAAAGAAAUCUUUUGCAAGUCAUAAAACCACUAGUGAAUAAGGGGUGGGCAAGUUCUGGUGUCAGCCGCCGCGGUAAAACCAGCACCUCAAGUGGUCAGGAGGAUUAUUGGGCCUAAAGCAUCCGUAGCCGGCUUUGUAAGUUUUCGGUUAAAUCCAUGUGCUCAACGCAUGGGCUGCCGAAAAUACUGCAUAGCUAGGGAGUGGGAGAGGUAGACGGUACUCGGUAGGAAGGGGUAAAAUCCUUUGAUCUAUCGAUGACCACCUGUGGCGAAGGCGGUCUACCAGAACACGUUCGACGGUGAGGGAUGAAAGCUGGGGGAGCAAACCGGAUUAGAUACCCGGGUAGUCCCAGCUGUAAACGAUGCAGACUCGAUGAUGCAUUGGCAUAUAGCCAGUGCAGUGUCGCAGGGAAGCCGUUAAGUCUGCCGCCUGGGAAGUACGUACGCAAGUAUGAAACUUAAAGGAAUUGGCGGGGGAGCACCACAAGGGGUGAAGCCUGCGGUUCAAUUGGAGUCAACGCCGGG